AGUCACGAGUUUGAUCAUGGCUCAGGAUGAACGCUAGCGGCAGGCCUAACACAUGCAAGUCGAACGAGACCUUCGGGUCUAGUGGCGCACGGGUGCGUAACGCGUGGGAAUCUGCCCUUUGCUUCGGAAUAACAGUUAGAAAUGACUGCUAAUACCGGAUGAUGUCUUCGGACCAAAGAUUUAUCGGCAAAGGAUGAGCCCGCGUAGGAUUAGGUAGUUGGUGGGGUAAAGGCCUACCAAGCCGACGAUCCUUAGCUGGUCUGAGAGGAUGAUCAGCCACACUGGGACUGAGACACGGCCCAGACUCCUACGGGAGGCAGCAGUGGGGGAAUAUUGGACAAUGGGCGAAAGCCUGAUCCAGCAAUGCCGCGUGAGUGAUGAAGGCCUUCGGGUUGUAAAGCUCUUUUACUCGGGACGAUAAUGACGGUACCGAGAGAAUAAGCCCCGGCUAACUCCGUG
RNAcentral lists this ribosomal RNA (459 nucleotides) under uncultured bacterium. RNAcentral's name for it is "bacterial SSU rRNA". It matches the Rfam family "Bacterial small subunit ribosomal RNA", at positions 1 to 507 of the family's 1533-position model. The record is from RNAcentral.